This 253-nucleotide ribosomal RNA is filed under the name uncultured bacterium. RNAcentral's name for it is "partial 16S ribosomal RNA". It matches the Rfam family "Bacterial small subunit ribosomal RNA", at positions 524 to 776 of the family's 1533-position model. The record is from RNAcentral.
UACGAAGGGGGCUAGCGUUGCUCGGAAUGACUGGGCGUAAAGGGCGCGUAGGCGGAUGGCACAGUCAGAUGUGAAAUUCCCGGGCUUAACCUGGGGGCUGCAUUUGAUACGUGUUGUCUUGAGUUCGGAAGAGGGUCGUGGAAUUCCCAGUGUAGAGGUGAAAUUCGUAGAUAUUGGGAAGAACACCGGUGGCGAAGGCGGCGACCUGGUCCGACACUGACGCUGAGGCGCGAAAGCAUGGGGAGCGAACAGG